This 134-nucleotide small nucleolar RNA is filed under the name Suricata suricatta (meerkat). RNAcentral describes it as "Small nucleolar RNA SNORA42/SNORA80 family (ENSSSUG00005021071.1)". It matches the Rfam family "Small nucleolar RNA SNORA42/SNORA80 family". From Rfam's summary of the family: The members of this family belong to the H/ACA class of snoRNAs that guide the sites of modification of uridines to pseudouridines. Human ACA42 (SNORA42) was cloned from HeLa cells by immunoprecipitation with anti-GAR1 antibody. The record is from Rfam by way of RNAcentral. Lineage: Eukaryota; Metazoa; Chordata; Mammalia; Carnivora; Herpestidae.
GCAUGGGUUUGGAUUUAUGGCAGGCCCGUCCCCCUGGGCCUCUCAUACUGUCCCAUGCCACAGUGAAGGUGGCUCCGAACCAUGGCCUGGCCUCCACGCUGUAGGCUGCAGGCACUGAAGUGGGUUGCACACUG